CCCUUAGAUGUCCUGGGCUGCACGCGCGCUACACUGAUGUGUCCAGUAAGCACCUAACCUAUUCCGAGAGGAGCGGGUAACCUUAGCAAAGCACAUCGUGAUGGGGAUAGAUUAUUGCAAUUAUUAGUCUUGAACGAGGAAUUCCUAGUAAGCACAAGUCAUCAGCUUGUGUUGAUUACGUCCCUGCCCUUUGUACACACCGCCCGUCGCUCCUACCGAUUGAAUGUUCCGGUGAGCUCUUCGGACUGUGCGGUCUGCAGUUUCUGCGUUCCGUGCGGAAAGUUGUGCAAACCUUAACAUUUAGAGGAAGGAGAAGUCGUAACA
RNAcentral lists this ribosomal RNA (324 nucleotides) under uncultured eukaryote. RNAcentral's name for it is "partial 18S ribosomal RNA". It matches the Rfam family "Eukaryotic small subunit ribosomal RNA", at positions 1470 to 1796 of the family's 1831-position model. The record is from RNAcentral.